CGGUGAGAACGUACAGUAAGCACUUGACGAUGUAUAUUGUACGACUCUCAUCGUA
RNAcentral lists this microRNA precursor (55 nucleotides) under Nematostella vectensis (starlet sea anemone). Its description in RNAcentral is "Nve-Mir-2036_pre stem-loop". The record is from RNAcentral. Lineage: Eukaryota; Metazoa; Cnidaria; Anthozoa; Actiniaria; Edwardsiidae.